This 1121-nucleotide long non-coding RNA is filed under the name Homo sapiens (human). Its description in RNAcentral is "non-protein coding lnc-RNF135-1:3". The record is from RNAcentral. Lineage: Eukaryota; Metazoa; Chordata; Mammalia; Primates; Hominidae.
ACCCUGGGUACUCUGCGCGCGCCCGCUGGCCCCGCCCGGCCCCAACGGCCCCAACUCCCGUCUCCUCCCAGUCCCCCGGAGCCGACCAGUGGUGGCGGCAGCCCCAGGUCCCGGGUCCCUCAGACAAAAAGGCGGGUGGAGGAGGAGUAGCCGAGCCCAGAGUCCUGCUCCGGCGCCGCCGAGCACCGCCCGCCUCAGCCGACCAGCCCCGUCGGCUACUGGGCCUAGCCUAGAGGAGAGGAGGGAAAGGCCGCGGAGGCCGCGAGGAGACGGCUGGGGCGCCAGCGGCCGGCUGCCGCCUAGUUGUGCUGCCCGGACCAAGGAAGGAGAAGUGGGAGGAGCGGGGAGCUCAGCGGCUCAGGACGACGACGCUCGCCACAUCCGGGACCCUCCGGCCGUGGCGGUCGCAGCGCCGGCAGCUCGGGCCUCAGCCCCUGCCUCUGUGGUGACUCCGCCGCGCUUCGACGUCGCCCCUGUCCCCGUCCCGCCCGCCGCCCCCGCCAACCCCGCCGCCGGGGACAUGUCCAACCCCUGAAGCCGGAGGAACGGGCCAGUCAGACUGCGCCCGACAGGAGGUGAAGUGAAAUCUGCAAGAGUCCUGCUCGUUCAAGGCCUGCAUACAGGAAAGAAGCAGGGGAAAAGCGUUAGAAACAGCUUUUGUUCUACAGCAUUUUAAAAUAUAAUAGGUAUAUUGAAAAGUCUGAUUCAGUUACAAUCAGUGUAUGGAAUCACAAGAAGAUCCAUAAGAAACAAGGUGCUGGAUUUCUCCGUUGUGUUCGUCUUUUUCCAGUGCCAUCAACCACCUCAAAGACACUGGUUAUCAGAGGUUGGAUUUAUGCAAACUUGGGCCAAAGGACAGUUAGAAGACAGUAGCUGAAGAAGCAUCUGUAGGGAAUCCAGAAGGAGCAUUCAUGAAGAUGUUACAAGCCCGGAAGCAGCACAUGAGCACUGAGCUGACUAUUGAGUCGGAGGCGCCCUCAGACAGCAGUGGCAUCAACUUGUCAGGCUUUGGGAGUGAGCAGCUAGACACCAAUGACGAGAGUGAUGUUAGCAGCGCACUAAGUUACAUCUUGCCUUAUCUCUCACUGAGAAAUCUAGGUGCAGAAUCAAUAUUGUUACCG